This 475-nucleotide ribosomal RNA is filed under the name uncultured bacterium. RNAcentral describes it as "bacterial SSU rRNA". It matches the Rfam family "Bacterial small subunit ribosomal RNA", at positions 30 to 504 of the family's 1533-position model. The record is from RNAcentral.
UGAACGCUAGCGGCAGGCCUAACACAUGCAAGUCGAGGGGUAACAGGGAGCUUGCUCCGCUGACGACCGGCGCACGGGUGCGUAACGCGUAUACAAUCUACCUUUUGCUGCGGGAUAGCCUUUGGAAACGAAGAUUAAUACCGCAUAGUAUGUAAGAUUCGCAUGGAUUUUAUAUUAAAGGUUACGGCAGAAGAUGAGUAUGCGUCCUAUUAGCUAGAUGGUGUGGUAACGGCAUACCAUGGCUACGAUAGGUAGGGGCCCUGAGAGGGGGAUCCCCCACACUGGUACUGAGACACGGACCAGACUCCUACGGGAGGCAGCAGUGAGGAAUAUUGGACAAUGGAGGCAACUCUGAUCCAGCCAUGCCGCGUGCAGGAAGACUGCCCUAUGGGUUGUAAACUGCUUUUAUACGGGAAGAAACCCUGCUACGAGUAGCAGCUUGACGGUACCGUAAGAAUAAGGAUCGGCUAACUCC